AUCAACUUUCGAUGGUAGGAUAGAGGCCUACCAUGGUGGUAACGGGUAACGGGGUGUUAGGGCACGACACCGGAGAGGGAGCCUGAGAAACGGCUACCACAUCCAAGGAUGGCAGCAGGCGCGCAAAUUACCCAAUCCCGACACGGGGAGGUAGUGACAAUAAAUAACAAUACGGGGUUCUUUCGGAUCUCGUAAUUGGAAUGAGUACAAUUUAAAUCUCUUAACGAGGAACAAUUGGAGGGCAAGUCUGGUGCCAGCAGCCGCGGUAAUUCCAGCUCCAAUAGCGUAUAUUAAAGUUGUUGCAGUUAAAAAGCUCGUAGUUGAAUUUCGGGGUUAGUAAGUUGGUCAUGCCUCCGGUAUGCACUGGCUUUACUGAUUCCUCCUUCUUGAUGAACUGUAAUGUCAUUAAUUUGGUGUUGCAGGGAAUCAGGACUGUUACUUUGAAAAAAUUAGAGUGUUUAAAGCAGGCAUAAGCUUGAAUACAUUAGCAUGGAAUAAUGAAAUAGGACGUUUGAUCCUAUUUUGUUGGUUUCUAGGAUUGACGUAAUGAUUAAUAGGGAUAGUUGGGGGCAUUAGUAUUCAAUUGUCAGAGGUGAAAUUCUUGGAUUUAUUGAAGACUAACUACUGCGAAAGCAUUUGCCAAGGAUGUUUUCAUUAAUCAAGAACGAAAGUUAGGGGAUCGAAGACGAUCAGAUACCGUCGUAGUCUUAACCAUAAACUAUGCCGACUAGGGAUCGGAUGAUGUUAUUUUUAAUGACUCAUUCGGCGCCUUACGGGAAACCAAAGUGUUUGGGUUC
This 797-nucleotide ribosomal RNA is filed under the name uncultured Sclerocystis. Its description in RNAcentral is "SSU rRNA". It matches the Rfam family "Eukaryotic small subunit ribosomal RNA", at positions 314 to 1114 of the family's 1831-position model. The record is from RNAcentral. Lineage: Eukaryota; Fungi; Glomeromycota; Glomeromycetes; Glomerales; Glomeraceae.